RNAcentral lists this ribosomal RNA (407 nucleotides) under Yersinia sp. AZTITEMP290. RNAcentral's name for it is "bacterial SSU rRNA". It matches the Rfam family "Bacterial small subunit ribosomal RNA", at positions 931 to 1333 of the family's 1533-position model. The record is from RNAcentral. Lineage: Bacteria; Pseudomonadati; Pseudomonadota; Gammaproteobacteria; Enterobacterales; Yersiniaceae.
UGGUGGAGCAUGUGGUUUAAUUCGAUGCAACGCGAAGAACCUUACCUACUCUUGACAUCCACAGAACUUAGCAGAGAUGCUUCGGUGCCUUCGGGAACUGUGAGACAGGUGCUGCAUGGCUGUCGUCAGCUCGUGUUGUGAAAUGUUGGGUUAAGUCCCGCAACGAGCGCAACCCUUAUCCUUUGUUGCCAGCACGUAAUGGUGGGAACUCAAGGGAGACUGCCGGUGACAAACCGGAGGAAGGUGGGGAUGACGUCAAGUCAUCAUGGCCCUUACGAGUAGGGCUACACACGUGCUACAAUGGCAGAUACAAAGUGAAGCGAACUCGCGAGAGCAAGCGGACCACAUAAAGUCUGUCGUAGUCCGGAUUGGAGUCUGCAACUCGACUCCANGAAGUNNNAAUCGNC